AAGAUGUCGGCCUGCAACCUUCAGGCUGCCUAAUCGUACCUGGUUUCGUCCUUGACCACGGAUGUACUGGCACCGACGACACCAAGUUAUCUGAGAGGCCGGGCUUAUAGCCUGGCCUUUUUUGUU
Molecule: small RNA, 126 nt
Filed under: Velazquezella soli
Lineage: Bacteria; Pseudomonadati; Pseudomonadota; Alphaproteobacteria; Hyphomicrobiales; Rhizobiaceae
Also listed under: 1 other name
Description: Rhizobium soli sRNA ar35
Rfam family: Alphaproteobacterial sRNA ar35
Source: RNAcentral